This 46-nucleotide transfer RNA is filed under the name Pterobdella abditovesiculata. RNAcentral's name for it is "partial tRNA-Leu". The record is from RNAcentral. Lineage: Eukaryota; Metazoa; Annelida; Clitellata; Hirudinida; Piscicolidae.
AUUAGGUUUAAAUUCUAAAAAUGAUAAAUUAAAUUAUCCUAUAUUA